GGCUUUGUAACUCAACUGGCAGAGCGUUUGCCUUGUUGAGGCAUGGUGUUUCUGUCGCUGGUUUGAAUCCAGCCGAAGCUC
Molecule: non-coding RNA, 81 nt
Organism: Paragonimus skrjabini miyazakii
Lineage: Eukaryota; Metazoa; Platyhelminthes; Trematoda; Plagiorchiida; Troglotrematidae
Source: the annotation of a GenBank genome assembly